CGGCCGCGGUACCCUAACCGUGCGAAGGUAGCAUAAUCACUUGUUCUUUAAAUGAGGACUCGUAUCAACGGCAUCACGAGGAUCCUACUGUCUCCCCCCUCUAAUCGGUGAAACUGAUCUCUCCGUGAAGAAGCGGAGAUGUACAUAUAAGACGAGAAGACCCCAUGGAGCUUUAAACCCAACAACACCCGCCCCCCUCCAAAUCCUAUUAUUUACCCGGUGAUUGUUUGUUUGGUUUUAGGUUGGGGUGACCGCGGAGUAUAAGAUAUCCUCCAUGAAAAAAAGCUAACUGCCCUUAUUAGAGAAAGACACUUCCAAAAAAUAAUAAAUUAAUUUUAAAUGAUCCGAUAUUCGAUCAACGAACCAAGUUACCCUGGGGAUAACAGCGCAAUCCGCCCCGAGAGCCCCUAUCGACAGGCGGGUUUACGACCUCGAUGUUGGAUCAGGGUAUCCCAGUGGUGCAGCAGCUACUAAAGGUUCGUUUGUUCAACGAUUAAAACCCUA
RNAcentral lists this ribosomal RNA (504 nucleotides) under Boophis madagascariensis (Madagascar bright-eyed frog). RNAcentral's name for it is "partial 16S ribosomal RNA". It matches the Rfam family "Bacterial large subunit ribosomal RNA", at positions 1928 to 2598 of the family's 2925-position model. The record is from RNAcentral. Lineage: Eukaryota; Metazoa; Chordata; Amphibia; Anura; Mantellidae.